RNAcentral lists this unclassified non-coding RNA (447 nucleotides) under uncultured fungus. RNAcentral describes it as "partial contains small subunit ribosomal RNA, internal transcribed spacer 1, and 5.8S ribosomal RNA". The stretch from base 1 to 73 matches the Rfam family "Eukaryotic small subunit ribosomal RNA", at positions 1759 to 1831 of the family's 1831-position model. The record is from RNAcentral. Lineage: Eukaryota; Fungi.
ACAAACUUGGUCAUUUAGAGGAAGUAAAAGUCGUAACAAGGUUUCCGUAGGUGAACCUGCGGAAGGAUCAUUACUGUAGGAAUCAUGGAGUUAAUCUGCAUGAAGAGAUCUAAGGUAGUAAAUUGUGAUGCUAGAAGGUGUUAAGAUAUCUGGUACUCUACCAGAAAGCAACUAGAAUUGCACCCUUCAAUGAAAUUACCCCCCAAUUUCAGAAGAGCUCACUCAAAUCUACCAACCAUAUUAGUCUCUCCUUGUGGGUUAAAUGUCUGUGAAUCCAAACCCUUCUACCCUUGACUAUAAGUACCUUUGUUUCCUUGGCAAGUUUGCUUGCCAGUGGACUUAUCUUAAAUUCUUUUGUUAUAGCAGUUUUUUGUCUGAAAUUAUAAGUAAUCAAUCAAAACUUUCAACAACGGAUCUCUUGGUUCUGGCAUCGAUGAAGAACGCAGC